This 411-nucleotide ribosomal RNA is filed under the name uncultured bacterium. RNAcentral describes it as "bacterial SSU rRNA". It matches the Rfam family "Bacterial small subunit ribosomal RNA", at positions 88 to 500 of the family's 1533-position model. The record is from RNAcentral.
CUGGCGCACGGCGCACGGGUGCGUAACACGUGGGUAAUCUGCCCUUCGAUGGGGAAUAACUCGCCGAAAGGCGAGCUAAUUCCGCAUAACAUUCCGGGAACUUCGGUUCUUUGGAUUCAAAGGCGUAAGUCGUCGGAGGAGGAGCCCGCGCACGAUUAGCUAGUUGGUGAGGUAAUGGCUCACCAAGGCUUUGAUCGUUAGCUGGUCUGAGAGGAUGGCCAGCCACACUGGAACUGAGACACGGUCCAGACUCCUACGGGAGGCAGCAGUGGGGAAUCUUGCACAAUGGGCGAAAGCCUGAUGCAGCGACGCCGCGUGGGGGAUGAAGCUUCUCGGAGUGUAAACCCCUUUCGACCCGGACGAAUGCCCCGCAAGGGGACUGACGGUACGGGUAUAAGAAGCCCCGGCUAA